AACGAACGCUGGCGGCAUGCCUAACACAUGCAAGUCGAACGAGACCUUCGGGUCUAGUGGCGCACGGGUGCGUAACGCGUGGGAACCUGCCCUUAGGUUCGGAAUAACUCCCCGAAAGGGGUGCUAAUACCGGAUAAUGUCUUCGGACCAAAGAUUUAUCGCCUUUGGAUGGGCCCGCGUUGGAUUAGCUAGUUGGUAGGGUAAAAGCCUACCAAGGCUACGAUCCAUAGCUGGUCUGAGAGGAUGAUCAGCCACACUGUGACUGAGACACGGCCCAGAAUCCUACGGGAGGCAGCAGUGGGGAAUAUUGGACAAUGGGCGAAAGCAUGAUCCAGCAAUGCCGCGUGAGUGAUGAAGGCCUUAGGGUUGUAAAGCUCUUUUACCCGGGAUGAUAAUGACAGUACCGGGAGAAUAAGCUCCGGCUAACUCCGUG
RNAcentral lists this ribosomal RNA (433 nucleotides) under uncultured bacterium. RNAcentral describes it as "partial 16S ribosomal RNA". It matches the Rfam family "Bacterial small subunit ribosomal RNA", at positions 29 to 507 of the family's 1533-position model. The record is from RNAcentral.